UUUACUCGUGAAGCUGGGGCCCGGGAGCCGAGCCAAGCCGCUCCCCGUCUGCCUGGGCCCGGUGGCUGCGAGCACGGCGUAGGGCGGUGGGAGUGAGGUUGGGGCCGGGGCAGCGCGCGGCUCACUUGCUUUUUCUGGAAACUCCCUUUUCCCAAGGAAAGGAAGAGGCGGCGAGGGCCAGGCCCGGUGCGACGCGAGGCGGCGCGGAGCUGAGCGGAGCCCACAGAGCAGGCGGCUGGAGCAGCGCAGCUACGAGUGCGGACGGUGCGGCUGCUGGGAGAGCUUGUUCCAGAGAAGACCGCUCAUAUGCUCGACUUACUGGAAAGGAAGAUCUUAAGCAGCAAGAAAAUAAAUGUUGCCUUGAGCCAGAAUAUAAGUGACACAAUCGUCAACUACUUAUUAAAAGUGAAUCUAAAUAAGGAGCAGGAGGAAAGCACUGCUGCUGUCCUACUAGCUUUAGAAGCCCACAGCCCCAAAGUGGUUAUCAAUAAUUUUUGGGACCGAAUGAAGGAGCAAAGCGUGCCCCCGCCAAAUCUUCUUCGGACAAUGGGGAAGCUCAUCCUUUAUGAAGGUAUGGUACCCUACAUUGGUGCUACAUGGAGCUAUAUCCUGCCCCUCCUGAGAAAGGCCCAGACUGAAGAAGAAAGACUGGGAUUAUGUAAUGGUGGCUGA
This 672-nucleotide long non-coding RNA is filed under the name Phascolarctos cinereus (koala). RNAcentral's name for it is "lncRNA (ENSPCIG00000033394.1)". Lineage: Eukaryota; Metazoa; Chordata; Mammalia; Diprotodontia; Phascolarctidae. The record is from RNAcentral.